Molecule: long non-coding RNA, 236 nt
Filed under: Elaeis guineensis (African oil palm)
Lineage: Eukaryota; Viridiplantae; Streptophyta; Magnoliopsida; Arecales; Arecaceae
Description: long non-coding RNA (EGUI_LNC011309)
Source: RNAcentral
UAUUUCAAAAUCCCAUUCCGAAAAUUGGAAAUGAGGUAGAUGGGAUUUUCUAUUGAUUCUAGGUGAAAAGAAUCCUAACUAGUUGGAACUUGGUAAAUUUUACUCACUGUAGAUUUUUUCACUUAAGAGUCUGUUUGGGGAUGCUGUAGUUUUUUAUCAAAAAUUAAUUUUUAAUAAAAGCUGCAUUUUGAUAUUGUUGCUGCUUAAAUCGGUUGAGGCCAGAAGAUGGAUGGUUG